This 210-nucleotide ribosomal RNA is filed under the name uncultured archaeon. Its description in RNAcentral is "partial 16S ribosomal RNA". It matches the Rfam family "Archaeal small subunit ribosomal RNA", at positions 462 to 673 of the family's 1478-position model. The record is from RNAcentral.
UAGCCACGGGAAUACCAGCCCCGCGAGUGGUCGGGGUGCUUACUGGGCCUAAAGCGGCCGUAGCCGGCCUGGCAAGUCUCCCCUGAAAGCCUCGGGCUCAACCCGAGGACCGGGGAGAUACUACCGGGCUAGGGGGCGGGAGAGGCCGAGGGUACUCCCGGGGUAGGGGCGAAAUCCUAUAAUCCCGGGAGGACCACCCGUGGCGAAGGC